UUAGCUAGUUGGUGAGGUAAGGGCUCACCAAGGCAACGAUGCGUAGCCGACCUGAGAGGGUGAUCGGCCACACUGGGACUGAGACACGGCCCAGACUCCUACGGGAGGCAGCAGUAGGGAAUCUUCCGCAAUGGACGAAAGUCUGACGGAGCAACGCCGCGUGAGUGAUGAAGGUUUUCGGAUCGUAAAGCUCUGUUGUUAGGGAAGAACAAGUACCGUUCGAAUAGGGCGGUACCUUGACGGUACCUAACCAGAAAGCCACGGCUAACUACGUGCCAGCAGCCGCGGUAAUACGUAGGUGGCAAGCGUUGUCCGGAAUUAUUGGGCGUAAAGGGCUCGCAGGCGGUUUCUUAAGUCUGAUGUGAAAGCCCCCGGCUCAACCGGGGAGGGUCAUUGGAAACUGGGGAACUUGAGUGCAGAAGAGGAGAGUGGAAUUCCACGUGUAGCGGUGAAAUGCGUAGAGAUGUGGAGGAACACCAGUGGCGAAGGCGACUCUCUGGUCUGUAACUGACGCUGAGGAGCGAAAGCGUGGGGAGCGAACGAGGAUUAGAUACCCUGGUAGUCCACGCCGUAAACGAUGAGUGCUAAGUGUUAGGGGGUUUCCGCCCCUUAGUGCUGCAGCUAACGCAUUAAGCACUCCGCCUGGGGAGUACGGUCGCAAGACUGAAACUCAAAGGAAUUGACGGGGGCCCGCACAAGCGGUGGAGCAUGUGGUUUAAUU
This 721-nucleotide ribosomal RNA is filed under the name Bacillus tequilensis. RNAcentral's name for it is "bacterial SSU rRNA". It matches the Rfam family "Bacterial small subunit ribosomal RNA", at positions 241 to 951 of the family's 1533-position model. The record is from RNAcentral. Lineage: Bacteria; Bacillati; Bacillota; Bacilli; Caryophanales; Bacillaceae.